Molecule: transfer RNA, 62 nt
Filed under: Longitarsus curtus
Lineage: Eukaryota; Metazoa; Arthropoda; Insecta; Coleoptera; Chrysomelidae
Description: tRNA-Phe
Source: RNAcentral
ACUUAAAUAGCUUAUUUAGAGCCUAAUAUUGAAGAUAUUAAGGAGAUUUAGAUCUUUAAGUA